This 313-nucleotide ribosomal RNA is filed under the name uncultured Debaryomyces. Its description in RNAcentral is "partial large subunit ribosomal RNA". It matches the Rfam family "Eukaryotic large subunit ribosomal RNA", at positions 40 to 350 of the family's 3401-position model. Lineage: Eukaryota; Fungi; Ascomycota; Saccharomycetes; Saccharomycetales; Saccharomycetaceae. The record is from RNAcentral.
AUAUCAAUAAGCGGAGGAAAAGAAACCAACAGGGAUUGCCUUAGUAACGGCGAGUGAAGCGGCAAAAGCUCAAAUUUGAAAUCUGGCAGUAAUGUCCGAGUUGUAAUUUGAAGAAGGUAACUUUGGUGAUAGCUCUUGCAUAUGUUCCUUGGAACAGGACGUCAUAGAGGGUGAGAAUCCCGUAUAUGGUGAGAUGACAUAUUACUAUGUAAAGUGCCUUCGAAGAGUCGAGUUGUUUGGGAAUGCAGCUCUAAGUGGGUGGUAAAUUCCAUCUAAAGCUAAAUAUUGGCGAGAGACCGAUAGCGCACAAGUA